RNAcentral lists this ribosomal RNA (218 nucleotides) under uncultured Pseudomonas sp. RNAcentral's name for it is "partial 16S ribosomal RNA". It matches the Rfam family "Bacterial small subunit ribosomal RNA", at positions 1166 to 1381 of the family's 1533-position model. The record is from RNAcentral. Lineage: Bacteria; Pseudomonadati; Pseudomonadota; Gammaproteobacteria; Pseudomonadales; Pseudomonadaceae.
AGGAAGGGUGGGGAUGACGUCAAGUCAUCAUGGCCCUUACGGCCUGGGCUACACACGUGCUACAAUGGUCGGUACAAAGGGUUGCCAAGCCGCGAGGUGGAGCUAAUCCCAAUAAAAACCGAUCGUAGUCCGGAUCGCAGUCUGCAACUCGACUGCGUGAAGUCGGAAUCGCUAGUAAUCGUGAAUCAGAAUGUCACGGUGAAUACGUUCCCGGCCUU